Molecule: ribosomal RNA, 627 nt
Filed under: uncultured bacterium
Lineage: Bacteria
Description: SSU rRNA
Rfam family: Bacterial small subunit ribosomal RNA
Source: RNAcentral
CAGCUGGUUGGUGGGGUAAGAGCCUACCAAGGCGACGAUCGGUAGCUGGUCUGAGAGGACGAACAGCCACACUGGGAUUGAGAACGGCCCAGACUCCUACGGGGGGCAGCAGUGAGGAAUUUUCGGCAAUGGAGGCAACUCUGACCGAGCAACGCCGCGUGCAGGAGGACGCUUUUCGGAGUGUAAACUGCUUUUCUGUGGGACGAGGAUGGACGGUACCACAGGAAGAAGCCCCGGCUAACUACGUGCCAGCAGCCGCGGUAAUACGUAGGGGGCGAGCGUUGUCCGGAGUUACUGGGCGUAAAGGGCAUGCAGGCGGUCAGGCGCGUUUUGUGUGACAGCGGAGGGCUUCACUCUCCGAGCAUGCGAAAGACGGUUUGACUUGAGGACUCGAGAGGGACACGGAAUUCCGGGUGGAGUGGUGAAAUGCGUAGAGAUCCGGAGGAACACCGAAGGCGAAGGCAGUGUCCUGGCGAGUGACUGACGCUGAGGUGCGAAAGCCAGGGGAGCGAACGGGAUUAGAUACCCCGGUAGUCCUGGCCGUAAACGAUGACCACCAGGUGUGGGAGGUAUCGACCCCUUCUGUGCCGUAGGUAACCCAUUAAGUGGUCCGCCUGGGGAGUACGU